RNAcentral lists this ribosomal RNA (406 nucleotides) under uncultured bacterium. Its description in RNAcentral is "partial 16S ribosomal RNA". It matches the Rfam family "Bacterial small subunit ribosomal RNA", at positions 29 to 526 of the family's 1533-position model. The record is from RNAcentral.
AUUGAACGCUGGCGGCAGGCCUAACACCUGCAAGUCGAGCCACCGCCCGACGGGUGAGUAAUGCCUGGGCAUCUGCCUGCUAGAGGGCGAUAAAUACUGGAAACGGCAGCUAAUACCGCAUACUAUCGCAUGCACCCAUGUGGGAUUAGCUAGUUGGUGGGGUAACGGCUCACCAAGGCAACGAUCUCUCGCUGGUCUGAGAGGAUGAUCAGCCACACGGGGACUGAGACAAGGGCCAUGCUCCGACGGGAGGCAGCAGUGGAGAAGGUUGGACAGGGGGCGCAAGCCUGAUGCAGCCAUUCCGCGUGUAUGGAGAAGGCCUGAGGGUUGUAAAGUACGUUCAGCGGGGGAGCGUUACCGGCAGAAGAAGCACCGGCAAACUCCGUGGCAGCAGCCGCGGUAAUAC